Non-coding RNA from Lupinus angustifolius (narrow-leaved blue lupine), 119 nucleotides. The record is from Rfam. NCBI's taxonomy places the organism in Eukaryota, Viridiplantae, Streptophyta, Magnoliopsida, Fabales, Fabaceae.
UGGUGCGAUCAUACCAGCACUAAUGCUUCGGAUCCCAUCAGAACUCCGCAUGUAAGCGUGCUUGGGCGAGCGUAGUACUAGGAUUGGUGACCUCCUGGGAAGUCCUCGUGUUGAACCUC